GGGAGGCGGAAGAGGUUUCCGGCUCUACGCUCGGGAAUCCCGGGACCAGUGAGGGGCCACCCGGGAUACAGGAAAGGGCCGCCGGGGCGGGUUGGCCGCCCUCGGGGUGUCGGGACUGCGGGCCUGAGGGAUGAGGAGAGGCCAUGGCCAGCGACGGGGCCAGGAAGCAGUUCUGGAAGCGCAGCAACAGCAAGGUCCCGGGCAGGCUCUGGCCAUGGCUCACGGGCCUAGCCGUUACAUGGCAUGUGGGAUCUUCCUGGACCGGAGCACGAACCUGUGUCCUCUGCAUCGGCAGGCGGACUCUCAACCACUGCGCCACCAGGGAAGCCCUAGAUUCUGAUCCUUAACAACCAGCUGAGGUGUGAGAAUAAUCGAGCUCCUGUGUGUACUUAUAAUGGUGAAUAAACCUUUGGAUUGAUGACUGUG
This is a long non-coding RNA of Physeter macrocephalus (sperm whale), 426 nucleotides long. RefSeq lists it as uncharacterized. The record is from RefSeq and is a predicted model, not a curated record. NCBI's taxonomy places the organism in Eukaryota, Metazoa, Chordata, Mammalia, Artiodactyla, Physeteridae. The transcript has 2 exons.